GAGUCUGCGUUACACUGGGCACCCCCGGUGACGCGCCACAUUUUCUCCGGUCUCCCGUCCGCAGGUCCCGCAGCCGCGGACGCAGAGUGGAAACGGACGGUCGCCGCCACCGGUUCCCGCACCUGAGCUGAGGAAGGGGGCGGAUGGAAGGAAUCGAAGGGCUCCAAAGAAAAACCCCCGGAGCCAUCAGUGUGGAAGGACGGCAGAGUUUAGAGUCCAGCAGGGCAAGACGUGAACCCGGAUUUUGUGACCCAGCAGCUCUGCAACCGUGGGCAAGUCGCGUUGCUUCUUGGGGCAUUAGUUCCCUCGGGUUUGGAAAUCGAGGACCGUGAUUCAUGUG
Long non-coding RNA from Herpailurus yagouaroundi (jaguarundi), 340 nucleotides. RefSeq lists it as uncharacterized. Lineage: Eukaryota; Metazoa; Chordata; Mammalia; Carnivora; Felidae. The record is from RefSeq and is a predicted model, not a curated record. The transcript is spliced from 2 exons.